UGGUACGGUAACCGCCCAUGCUAUUACCGGAACAAUUGGCAAUGGCGCCGCUACGGCAGCCGCCACAAUUAUUGCAACAUCAGCACCCGCACAAGGAGUUAAUAAUACUAAUAAUGCGAUUAUGUUGCAAGCCUUGCGUGGUUGCCAUUUAGUGUAAGCUAAGCUCG
This is a long non-coding RNA of Musca vetustissima, 167 nucleotides long. RefSeq lists it as uncharacterized. The transcript is spliced from 2 exons. The record is from RefSeq and is a predicted model, not a curated record. NCBI's taxonomy places the organism in Eukaryota, Metazoa, Arthropoda, Insecta, Diptera, Muscidae.